RNAcentral lists this ribosomal RNA (609 nucleotides) under Melampsora laricis-populina. RNAcentral's name for it is "eukaryotic LSU rRNA". It matches the Rfam family "Eukaryotic large subunit ribosomal RNA", at positions 61 to 649 of the family's 3401-position model. The record is from RNAcentral. Lineage: Eukaryota; Fungi; Basidiomycota; Pucciniomycetes; Pucciniales; Melampsoraceae.
GAAAAUAACUAUGAUUCCCUUAGUAACGGCGAGUGAACAGGGAAAAGCCCAAAUUUGUAAUCUGGCACUUUUUACAAGUGUCCGAGUUGUAAUUUGUAGAACUGUUAUCCGCGCUGGACCAUGUACAAGUCUGUUGAAAAGCAGCAUCAUUGAAGGUGAAAAUCCUGUAGAUGAUAUGGACUACCAGUGCAUUUGUGAUACGGUUUCUAAGAGUCGAGUUGUUUGGGAAUGCAGCUCAAAGUGGGUGGUAAAUUCCAUCUAAGGCUAAAUAUAAGUGAGAGACCGAUAGCAAACAAGUACCGUGAGGGAAAGAUGAAAAGAACUUUGAAAAUAGAGUUAACAGUACGUGAAAUUGCUGAAAGGGAAACGUUUGAAGUUAGUUUGUAUUCGUUGGAUCAGCUUCGCAAGGAGUGUAUUCUGAUGAUAAGCAAGUCAACAUCAAUCUAUGAGUGUCGGAGAAGGGUUUUGAGAAUGUAGCAAUUUUUAUUAAUUGUGUUAUAGCUUGAGACUUGGAUACGAUGCUUUGGAUUGAGGAACGCGUAGUAAGCUUUGAGCGGAUUCGAAAGGAUCUCCUUACUAUGGAUGUUGGUGAAAUAACUUUAAGCGACC